UACGUAGGAGGCGAGCGUUGUCCGGAGUUACUGGGCGUAAAGGGUGCGUAGGCGGCUGCGCGCGUGGAGGGUGAAAUCUCUCGGCUUACCCGGGAGGGGGCUUUCCAGACGGCGUGGCUUGAGGGACGGAGAGGGGCGUGGAAUUCCGGGUGGAGCGGUGAAAUGCGUAGAGAUCCGGAGGAACACCGACGGCGUAGGCAGCGCCCUGGCCGUUUCCUGACGCUGAUACGCGAAAGCGUGGGGAGCAAACAGG
This 253-nucleotide ribosomal RNA is filed under the name uncultured bacterium. RNAcentral describes it as "partial 16S ribosomal RNA". It matches the Rfam family "Bacterial small subunit ribosomal RNA", at positions 524 to 776 of the family's 1533-position model. The record is from RNAcentral.